This 326-nucleotide ribosomal RNA is filed under the name Vibrio parahaemolyticus. RNAcentral's name for it is "bacterial SSU rRNA". It matches the Rfam family "Bacterial small subunit ribosomal RNA", at positions 1 to 313 of the family's 1533-position model. Lineage: Bacteria; Pseudomonadati; Pseudomonadota; Gammaproteobacteria; Vibrionales; Vibrionaceae. The record is from RNAcentral.
AAAUUGAAGAGUUUGAUCAUGGCUCAGAUUGAACGCUGGCGGCAGGCCUAACACAUGCAAGUCGAGCGGAAACGAGUUAUCAGAACCUUCGGGGGACGAUAACGGCGUCGAGCGGCGGACGGGUGAGUAAUGCCUAGGAAAUUGCCCUGAUGUGGGGGAUAACCAUUGGAAACGAUGGCUAAUACCGCAUGAUGCCUACGGGCCAAAGAGGGGGACCUUCGGGCCUCUCGCGUCAGGAUAUGCCUAGGUGGGAUUAGCUAGUUGGUGAGGUAAGGGCUCACCAAGGCGACGAUCCCUAGCUGGUCUGAGAGGAUGAUCAGCCACAC